This 442-nucleotide ribosomal RNA is filed under the name Salmonella enterica. Its description in RNAcentral is "partial 23S ribosomal RNA". It matches the Rfam family "Bacterial large subunit ribosomal RNA", at positions 1154 to 1570 of the family's 2925-position model. RNAcentral also lists the same sequence under 1 other name. Lineage: Bacteria; Pseudomonadati; Pseudomonadota; Gammaproteobacteria; Enterobacterales; Enterobacteriaceae. The record is from RNAcentral.
CGUAUCACCCAAGACAACUUUACGGAGUUGACGAUUGACGGAGCGAAGCGACGUCAAAGCGUUCAUUAAAGUCGAGUUGGCUUAGGGAUACGUUCGUUGGGUAGGGGAGCGUUCUGUAAGCCUGUGAAGGUGUGUCGUGAGGCAUGCUGGAGGUAUCAGAAGUGCGAAUGCUGACAUAAGUAACGAUAAAGCGGGUGAAAAGCCCGCUCGCCGGAAGACCAAGGGUUCCUGUCCAACGUUAAUCGGGGCAGGGUGAGUCGACCCCUAAGGCGAGGCCGAAAGGCGUAGUCGAUGGGAAACGGGUUAAUAUUCCCGUACUUGGUGUUACUGCGAAGGGGGGACGGAGAAGGCUAUGUUGGCCGGGCGACGGUUGUCCCGGUUUAAGCGUGUAGGUGUGUGUUCCAGGUAAAUCCGGUUCACUUUAACACUGAGGCGUGACGAC